RNAcentral lists this ribosomal RNA (206 nucleotides) under uncultured bacterium. RNAcentral's name for it is "partial 16S ribosomal RNA". It matches the Rfam family "Bacterial small subunit ribosomal RNA", at positions 568 to 774 of the family's 1533-position model. The record is from RNAcentral.
UACGUAGGCGGUUUAUUAAGUCAGAUGUGAAAGCCCCGGGCUUAACCUGGGAACUGCAUUUGAUACUGGUAAACUAGAGUAUUGUAGAGGGGGUAGAAUUCCUAGUGUAGCGGUGAAAUGCGUAGAUAUUAGGAGGAAUACCAGUGGCGAAGGCGGCCCCCUGGACCAAUACUGACGCUGAGGUACGAAAGCGUGGGUAGCGAACA